ACAUAAGGGCAUAACCUGUAAACAUUAAGAAGAGGAAGGGAGCAGUGAACUGUGGUCUGUCGAUUAGUAACCGACAUCUUUUUAAUCUACAGUAGGCUUAAGAUAAGUCACACCAAAUACAGAUCAUGGGAAUGGUGUGGUCAGUGUUGGACUGGUUGUGGCCAGUCGUGGAGAGACUUGUGGGUUUAUAUACAGGCUCACGGACACGAACAGUCGCCGAUAGUAACAGUGUUGUAACUGACAGAACAAUCAAAAAUAUGAAAGGAAAAAACCUCAACAUGGCGGUUGAAACAGUGAGUGAUGCAGGAAGUGGUCCGAGUGGAAAAGCUGCUGGAGAAUCAGCGCAGGCAGAUUGCUCUGCACGUGGCGGCAGUGUGAUUUGUACUGAUCAUAUAUCUCAUGUUAAUGUUGAUGGUGAUAUCAAUUUGUCAGUGACUGUGAAACCAAAGCAAAUCCUAACACUGCUUUCCUCUCUCAGGUAGAGUAGACGAGACACCACCGUACUCUCAGGGCCCAGGGUUCCUCCAACUCAACUCAUCACAAGACCCGCUCCACAUUCCAUCAUCAUCUGUUACCAGAUCUUCAGCCAGCUCUCUUCCCCACCACCAGUGUCUACUCAGGCUGUUCCCUUGCUUAUAUUAAGAGGAAGACACUCAAUAGGGCGUCCCUAUAAGCACCGUCAUCCAUGUAGCCCGGCUGUGGUUAGGCACACCCAAUUGAGUGACUUCCUUUUAAAAGUAUUUUUAGCAUUUACUGUUUUUUUUCUGGGAAUGUUAAUUAAGUGUUGUUACAAAACUAUGUUUACUAUGUAUGUGUUUGUGGUGC
Molecule: long non-coding RNA, 825 nt
Organism: Sander lucioperca (pikeperch)
Lineage: Eukaryota; Metazoa; Chordata; Actinopteri; Perciformes; Percidae
Exons: 6
Source: RefSeq, a predicted model, not a curated record